UUAAAUUGAAGAGUUUGAUCAUGGCUCAGAUUGAACGCUGGCGGCAGGCCUAACACAUGCAAGUCGAACGGUAACAGGAAGCAGCUUGCUGCUUCGCUGACGAGUGGCGGACGGGUGAGUAAUGUCUGGGAAACUGCCUGGUGGAGGGGGAUAACUACUGGAAACGGUAGCUAAUACCGCAUAACGUCGCAAGACCAAAGAGGGGGACCUUCGGGCCUCUUGCCAUCGGAUGUGCCCAGAUGGGAUUAGCUAGUAGGUGGGGUAACGGCUCACCUAGGCGACGAUCCCUAGCUGGUCUGAGAGGAUGACCAG
Molecule: ribosomal RNA, 312 nt
Filed under: Escherichia coli
Lineage: Bacteria; Pseudomonadati; Pseudomonadota; Gammaproteobacteria; Enterobacterales; Enterobacteriaceae
Description: bacterial SSU rRNA
Rfam family: Bacterial small subunit ribosomal RNA
Source: RNAcentral